RNAcentral lists this ribosomal RNA (449 nucleotides) under uncultured bacterium. RNAcentral describes it as "partial 16S ribosomal RNA". It matches the Rfam family "Bacterial small subunit ribosomal RNA", at positions 330 to 795 of the family's 1533-position model. The record is from RNAcentral.
UCCAGACUCCUACGGGAGGCAGCAUUUGGGGAUAUUGCACAAUGGGGGGAACCCUGAUGCAGCGACUCCUCUUGGGUGAAGGAUCUUUUCGGCGCUUCAAGCCCUAUCGUCCUUGAAGAAGUCGUACUGUACCUGCCUCCUCAGCCCCGUCUCCCUACGUGCCAUCAUCCGCGGUAAUCCUUCUGGUGCAAUCUUUAUCCGGAUUUACUGGUCGUAAAGGGAGCGCAGGCGGCGAGACAAGUCUGAUGUGAAACCCCGGGGGUGAACCCCGGGCAUGCAUUGGAAACUGGCGGGCUGGAGUGCCGGAGAGGUAAGCGGAAUUAAUAGUGUAGCGGUGAAAUGCGUAGAUAGUAGGAGGAACACCAGUGGAGAAGGCGGAUUAAGGGACGGCAACUGACGCUGAGGCUCGAAAGCGUGGGGAGAAAAAAGGAUUAGAUACCCUCGUAACG